GACGAACGCUGGCGGCGCGCCUAACACAUGCAAGUCGAACGAGCGAGAGAGAGCUUACUUUCUCGAGCGAGUGGCGGACGGGUGAGUAACGCGUGAGGAACCUGCCUCAAAGAGGGGGACAACAGUUGGAAACGACUGCUAAUACCGCAUAAGCCCACGGCUCGGCAUCGAGCAGAGGGAAAAGGAGCAAUCCGCUUUGAGAUGGCCUCGCGUCCGAUUAGCUAGUUGGUGAGGUAACGGCCCACCAAGGCGACGAUCGGUAGCCGGACUGAGAGGUUGAACGGCCACAUUGGGACUGAGACACGGCCCAGACUCCUACGGGAGGCAGCAGUGGGGAAUAUUGCACAAUGGGGGAAACCCUGAUGCAGCGACGCCGCGUGGAGGAAGAAGGUCUUCGGAUUGUAAACUCCUGUUGUUGAGGAAGAUAAUGACGGUACUCAACAAGGAAGUGACGGCUAACUACGUGCCAGCAGCCGCGGUAAAACGUAGGUCACAAGCGUUGUCCGGAAUUACUGGGUGUAAAGGGAGCGCAGGCGGGAAGACAAGUUGGAAGUGAAAUCCAUGGGCUCAACCCAUGAACUGCUUUCAAAACUGUUUUUCUUGAGUAGUGCAGAGGUAGGCGGAAUUCCCGGUGUAGCGGUGGAAUGCGUAGAUAUCGGGAGGAACACCAGUGGCGAAGGCGGCCUACUGGGCACCAACUGACGCUGAGGCUCGAAAGUGUGGGUAGCAAACAGGAUUAGAUACCCUGGUAGUCCACACUGUAAACGAUGAUUACUAGGUGUUGGAGGAUUGACCCCUUCAGUGCCGCAGUUAACACAAUAAGUAAUCCACCUGGGGAGUACGACCGCAAGGUUGAAACUCAAAGGAAUUGACGGGGGCCCGCACAAGCAGUGGAGUAUGUGGUUUAAUUCGACGCAACGCGAAGAACCUUACCAAGUCUUGACAUCCUGCGACGCACAUAGAAAUAUGUGUUUCCUUCGGGACGCAGAGACAGGUGGUGCAUGGUUGUCGUCAGCUCGUGUCGUGAGAUGUUGGGUUAAGUCCCGCAACGAGCGCAACCCUUAUGGUCAGUUACUACGCAAGAGGACUCUGGCCAGACUGCCGUUGACAAAACGGAGGAAGGUGGGGAUGACGUCAAAUCAUCAUGCCCUUUAUGACUUGGGCUACACACGUACUACAAUGGCGUUAAACAAAGAGAAGCAAGACCGCGAGGUGGAGCAAAACUCAGAAACAACGUCCCAGUUCGGACUGCAGGCUGCAACUCGCCUGCACGAAGUCGGAAUUGCUCGUAAUCGCAGAUCAGCAUGCUGCGGUGAAUACGUUCCCGGGCCU
Molecule: ribosomal RNA, 1332 nt
Filed under: uncultured bacterium
Lineage: Bacteria
Description: bacterial SSU rRNA
Rfam family: Bacterial small subunit ribosomal RNA
Source: RNAcentral